GAUCACCAAGAACAUAAAAAUUAUAUAUUAUAAUCUAAUCAAUAUGUCUUUUUCUUCCAUUUUCUUUUUACAAUAUGGAUAGAUAGGUCAAUGUAAACUAUUAAUAAUAUACAAAUAUUUAUAUGUAUAUUGUUGUUCAGUAGUUUUUCAGUCAUGUCCAGCUCUUUGUGACCCCAUUCUUGGCAAAGACAUUGGAGUUGCUUGCUAUUUCCUUCUCUGGGUCACUUUACAGAUGAGGAACUAAGGCAAACAUGCUCAAGUGACUUGCCCAGGGUCACAUAGCUAGCAAGUGGUUCACUUGCUAGAGAUCACUCCUUAAGGUCAGAGAUGGUUUCAUUUUUAUCUCUCUACCUUUUAUCCACAUUGCCUAACACAGUGGUUUGCAUACAGUAAAUGCUGAAUAAAACUUUAUUGCAUUCUUUUAUUGAACCAAGGAGAAAUUUCAAAGCUAUAUUUUAUUCUACAGUCAAUUUUUUUUAAUUUAACAAAGAAUAGUCACAGAAUGAUCUUAUGUUCUUUAUACUUUUUAGUCAAUUCAGUUGUCAACUGACUGUGGUCUAACGUAGAAACUGGCUACAAAAUUCUAUCUUUUCAUAUUUUUUCAUUCCCUUUUCAUAUUUUUGUUAAAGAGACUCUGAAUGCAUCUUCUCCUGGGAUUUUGUAGAAAUAAGAUCAUCUGGGUCAAUAUUUGUUGAAAUCUCCUUAGUUGUCCCUUUUUUAAGAAGCAUUAUCAAUUAUUUUGAUCCAUGCUUUUAGAAUCUUCUCAGAUACUUAAGUAGGUUAAAUAUUUAAUGGUGUCAAAAGCACCUAGAAGAUGGUUCUAGGUCAGUUGCAUUAUAAAUAUAGUAAUACAAUAAACUUAACAAAUAACUAUUUUGUAUACCAGAUCUAGAAGUUAGCAUGGAAUGGUUGGUUAAAUUAGGUGUUAAUUCAAGAAAUUUCUUUUUCCAAAGUUACUAAUGAUUUCUUAGUUGCUAAAUCUACUGGGUUUUUUUCUCAGUCAUCAGUCUCCUUGACCUCUUUGCAGCCUUGGACACUGCUGAUCACUCUCUCCUAUCUGAUACUCUCUCCUAGCUCUUCAGGAUGCCACUCUCUCCUGGUUUACCUCUCACCUAUCUGACUGUUCCUGUCUCCUUUGCUGGAUCUCCUUCUAGAUCAUGCUCUCUAACCAUAUGUCUCUCCCAGGGUUCUGUCCCUGGACCCUCUUCUCUUCUAUACAGCUUCACUUGGUGAUCUCAUCAGCUCCGUUGGAUUUCAUUACUUUCUCUACGUGAAUUAUUCUCAAAUCUACCCAUCCUGCCCCAGAUUCUCUGCUGACUUCCAAUUUUUAGUCUCUUUUGCCAUUCAGAAAUCUCAAACUAGAUGUCCAGUAGACAUUUUAAACACAGUUUGUCCAAAAUGAAAUUCAUUAUCUUUCCCCCUAAACCUUCACCUCCUCUUACCUUCUCUAUUACUAUAAAAGGCAACACUAUUCUAUUCUCCAAGUCCCUUAGGCUCACAAUCUAGGGAGUCAUCUUGGAUCCUCAUGAUCUCUCCUCCCCCAUAUUUAAUCUGCUGCUGAGGUCCAACAAUUUCACUUUUCAGUCUCUCAAUGGGCCUCUUAUCUCAUUCAACAUGUCUCCACCCCAGUGUAUCACCUCAUGUUUUGAUUAUUGCCAUAGCCUUUUGGUGGGUCUACCUGCCUGAUGUCUCUCCUCCCUUCAGAUCAUUCUCCAUUCAGUCACUAAAGUGAUUUUCCUAAAGCACAGGUCUAAGCACUUCAUUCUCCCUGAACAACACAGUCCAGUGGUUUUCUUUUGCCUCAAGGAGCAAAUAUAACAUGUCAUUUUUGGUAUUCAAAGCCCUUUAUAACCUCUCAGCCUCCUACCUUUCUAGUCAUUUAUCUCUAUGACACAUCUGUGGCACAUACUCUUCAAUACAGUGACAUUGGUCUCAUGGUUAUUCCAUGAAAAAGACACUCUUAUCUCUUAGCUCCAGGUAUUUCCUCUGGCUAUCCCCCAUGUCUAGAAUGUUCUCCCUCCUCAACUCUGACUACUGACCUCUCUGGCUUUCUUUUCAAUAUUCUACAGGAAUCUUUCCCUAACCCCUAUCAAUACCAGUGCCUUCCCUUUGUUAAUUAUUUCCUAUUAUCCUGCAUAUCCUGCAUAACCUUGCUGUGUAGAUAUUUGCUUGCAUAUUACCUUUUCCAUUAGACUAUAAGCUUCUUGAAGGCAGGGACAUCUUUUGCAUUUUUUUUAUUUCUGAUGCUUUAUACAGUAAAUGGCACAUAGUAGAUUCUUAAUAAAUGUUUUUGGAUUGAUUGAUUUGUUCUUAAUAAAUGUUUUUGGAUUGGUUGAUUUACAGAAGCCACUGGCCUAGGUGAAUAGAAUAUGCAAACAUGGGCUGAAGAAGGAUCAAUUCAUUCAUGCACAGAAAUGCUACUUGAACUAGGACUUGAAAAGAAGGAUUCCGUGUGAAUCAUAAGUGAAGAAGGAGUUCAUGCAGGAGAAGAGAUAUUAGGGAUCACAGCCCAUCCAAAGGCAUGGAAAUGGGAGAUGAAGUUUUAAGUUUUUUAGAACAGAGAGAGAAGACCUGGAUGGUUUAGCUGGAUCACAGAGUGCAAGAGGGGAAAUGAUAUAUACAAUGAGGCUAAAAAGAUAGGUUGAGGAGCAGCUAGGUGACUCAGUGGAUUAAGAGCAAGGUCGAGAGAUGUAACAAACAAAUACAUAAAUAUAAAAAAGAAUAUGAAAUGUCACAAGGGAGCAUAUGAUUAAUUGCCAGAUAAAAGGCAGACCCAAUGGUCUGGAGUGAGGAAUGAUUAGAAGAAGAACAAUUAGGAGGCUCUAGCAAUAAUUCAAGUAAUAAGUAAUCAGGACCUGAAUGAAGAUGGCCACUAUUUAAGCAGAGAGCAGUGGUCAGAUGAGAGGGAUAUUACAGAGGUAGAAAGGACAACAUUCAGAAAAGGGAGAGUGAGUUGGGCACAAAAGCAUGGUUAUAAACUUGGGGAAAUGGUGACUCCUUCAAUAGAAGGAGAGAAGUUUGGGGGGAAAAAGUGGUUGUGGGGUAGGAAAAGGAGAUAAUAAUGGCUAGUAUUUACAUAGCUUUUAGAGAACUGCAAAACUAUUAAUAUCUCAUUUUACCCUUACAACAACUCUGUGUGGUAGGUGCUAUUCAUAUCCCAUGUUACAAAUGAGGAAACUGAGAUAGACAGAGACUAAGUGAUUUAUUUAUCCCAUGGUCACACAGCUAGUAUGAGUCUGACCUAUCUUGCCCCCCAGCUUCUUUGCUAACUUCCAAUCUCACUUCUCUAAUUGCCUUUCAGACCUCUCAAACUAGAUGUUUGAGGAUUUGAAUUUAGGUCUUCCUGAUUCUAGAACUAGCAUUCUAUCCACUGCAAGACUUAGCUGCCUUUAAAUUUCAAAACAAGGUAAUGUGUUUAGUUUUAGAUAUGUUGAAUAUGAGAUGUCUACUAGGUUAAAACUCCAAUAGGCAAUUGAUGUGAUGUGAUGCUGGAUUAAAGUUCAGGAAAGAUAUUGAGGUCAAAUAUACAGAUCAUUCAGGGAGUAAUCUAUAAGGAGAUUAAAAUUAAAUCCAGGAGAAGUACCUGUAAUACCAUUAGUCUCUGAGAAAGAGUUUAGAGAAAGAAGAAUGGGAGAAAGAGCCUUGGAAAACAUCCAUAGUUAGAAGGUAUGAGCUUGAUAAUGAAUUAACAAAAGAAGAGUUAGACAGGUAAAAGACAAACAAAGAAAAAGUAGUGCCAUGAAAGUCUAGACAGGAGAAAGACUCCAAAAAGAGAGGGUCAAUAACAGUGUUUGAUGCAGUCGGAGGUCAAAAAGCAUGAGGACUGGGAAAAAGCAGAUUCGGUCCUUGAGAGAUCUUUGGUAACUGGAGAGAGAAGCUUCAGUGAAGUGACAAAAUCAGAAGUCAAAUUGCAAAAUAUUGAAGAAUAAGGGGGAGGGGGGAGCAGAAGCAGUAAGUAUAGAUAACUUUUCCAAGAAGUUUGGCUAUGAGAAGGAGGAGAAGUAUAGGAUGAUAUAGCUUGAGGGUAUAGUAGAGUUUACAAAAUUUUUUGGUUUUAUUUUUUUAAGGAUUGAGGAGUCUUGGCUGUGUUUAAAUAAAGGCAAUGGGUAAGGAACCAAAUGAUAGGGAGAGUUGAAAUUUAAAUGGAAAGGGGUUGAUUAAAAUUGCUUUCUGAUGGAGAAAAAAGGAGUGAAUAAAAUCAAGUACACAUUAGAAGAGUCAAUCUUGACAAAGAUUGACAAAGAUAUAACAAGAGUUAUAUCAUUCUCAGAGACUGAAAGAAUAGAAACAAUAGUGAGGGAUAAUGUCAAAAGCUUUUGAGAGGAAGAGAAGAGAAGAAAAGAUGGCUUGCACUGAACAACUUCCAUUUUCUUGGUAAAAUAAGAGACCAGUAAUGGGGCUAUGAUUGGGGUUAUAAACCCUGAAUGAUCACGCAAAUAUCGAUAAUAUGGAAAUAGGUCUUGACCAAAGACACAUGUAAAACCCAGUGGAAUUGGAUAUUGGAUAUGGGAGGGGGCUAGAGUGAGGGGAGGGAAAGAACAUGAUUUUUUUUAAUCCUGGGGAAAUGCUCUAAAUUAAUCAAUUAAAUAAAAAUUUAAAAAUAAGAGACCAGGGCCUCAGCUGAGGUGAGUUGUGGAGUGGGAGAAGUGGGGGAGUUUUGAAUAGAGAAGGUUUAGAAAUACUUUUGUGGGGAGUGCCAUAGAGAAUAAUGAAAUAAUAAAAGUUUUGCUUUUUUGCUGCAUUGAGGGUCCCUGAAAUUGAAUAAGAGUUUAUAUUAUAUCUAAUUAUCAUGGUUGUGUAAUUUCUUCUAGAACCAUUCAGCAGCAUAAGUCACAAUGGAGGAGGCAAGUGGUGAAAGUAAUUCAGGGCUGAGGUUUGGCAAAGGAUGAGUGGCAAUAAACAAAAGAAGGAAAGGAGUAUUCUGACUUCCCCUCCAGGGCCAAUGUGUUGAGGCAUAUACAUUAAAGUAAAACCAGUGAUGGAGAGGAUGGCCAGGAAUUAAUAUUAUUAAAGAAUAGGGGGUUGGAGAAGGAAGGAGAGUGUGGAAUAGGUCUUAAUGAGUGCUAGUUGAUGGAAAAACUGUGAAAAGUACAGCAAAGAAAAGUUUGUUUGAGAGGGAACUGCAAUUCCUUCUUCUUAUUCAUUUUUUUGUUUUGAAGACCAAUGGCAUCAUGAUGAGUGAUGUCUUGAUUGGCCUUGUGAAUUGGAUUUUAGUGAGGCAGAGUAGUACAAAAUCAUCAAUCUCACUCUUCUUCCAGAGCUUUCAAAGUCCAGUGGUAGGACAAAAGUCAAGAUGGCUGGUGGGUGGCCCAAGAUGUAGUGGAGCACUGGAAUUAAUAAAAGGACAGGGAGAGAAAUGGGUGGUGGGUGGGAAAUUGUUAACCACAGGGGCAAUAGUGGGUGGUAGAUGAAAAAUUUUAUGAUUCUGUGAACAUGACUUUAGCUGGUUGUAAAUUAACCAGGAAUGAGCAACACUAGGCUACCCAAGGGCCCCUUGUUGCAAUAAUGAAUCAUAAUGGGUAAAAGAUGAUUAGGACCUGGAGUAAGACUGUGUAGGGUGGAUGGGAGAGGAAUGGAUGGAUACAGUUGGUGUCUAAAGGGGAAAAUUCCACCAGGGCCUUACCAAGUAGUCCUCUCUUGGAAGUAUAUAACUGAAAGUCUUGACCCAAUUUCAGGAAGCAUAAGUUGACAUCAGAAUUGAGAUCGGUGGAGUGUCAAUCUAGGAAGAAGGAGCAAAAAGAAGAAGAAGCCUUUUAUCUGACAAGUAAUCAUAUGCUCCCUUGUGACAUCUCAUAUUCUUUUUUAUAUUUAUGAUAUUUGUUUGUUACAUUAAAGUUCUGGUAUCUUCCUCCUUCCUCUUUCA
This is a long non-coding RNA of Monodelphis domestica (gray short-tailed opossum), 5863 nucleotides long. RefSeq lists it as uncharacterized. The record is from RefSeq and is a predicted model, not a curated record. NCBI's taxonomy places the organism in Eukaryota, Metazoa, Chordata, Mammalia, Didelphimorphia, Didelphidae.